AAUACUCACACUCACCUCCAACAAAUCAACAAGUGUUCGUUCUAAAGCCAGAUGAUUUUUGUCAACACCCACGAGUUGCCAAAACACUCCUAGCAGUAUUGGGUUUCCAACAUUCUCUUGUUGAGAGAGAUUUCAAAAAAUCGUGAUGUUGAAACCCAACCCUAAUGGACAUUGUUGUGCAUAACCAUGGUAUAUCUUUUUAUCUCCCUUGAAAUUAGCUUUUCCAUUAUUUGCAUGAUGGCCUUUGAUUCUCUUAUACCAUUUUAAGGAUUCAAUUUCUUUUAUUUUAGGGCUUUAAUUUCUUCCUUACACCAUUCUUACAGAUUUCAAUUUCUCAAUUGGAAUUACCUGUUGCAGAGUGUACUCACCAUUCCACUGUGAAAGUGCAUUCAAAUUUUUGGCAGACCCGUGCCUCUAGGCCCCAUUCUCGCUGUCUACAGCCUCUCCAUGGCCUUGAUUUCAACCGUUAUCUUCACCGGGACGUUUUUCUCCACCGCCACUGAGAUCCGGGACACCCAGUGGUUCUGGUGGAGGUCCAAGACCCCAUUACAACGGCUGUUAUGCUUCCUUUUGGGGACACAACCAUCGGGGCCAACCUUCUUCUGGUUGUACGCCUACUACCUCUCUCACUUCCUCCACAUGUUCCGCACAUACUUCACCAUAUUAGGACAUCGUAAGCUGGGUUUACUCAACAUUUUCAAGAACUUAAUGAUGUUAUGCAUGUUAUUUAUGUGGCUUGAAUUCUCACAGUCAUUCCAAUUAGUAAAAAUCAUGUUGGCCACCCUAGUGUACUUUGUUGUAUACGGCUACAAGUUCUGGGUUGCAAUCGGGCCACCCAGUACAUGCUUCCCGUAUGUGUUGAGCUGCCAAAUAGUUUUAUUGGGCUCUAAUGUCCUCUGCCAUGUGGGGGCCCUUUUACUUCACUUGAGGAAAGAUGGCUGUAAUGGAAUUGGGGCCUGGAUCUUCAAUAAAACUUCCUUAAAGGAAUUGUUGGAUAUUUGGCAGAAGCACAUUUAACAAGUCACCUUUGUUCUUUAAGUCCAAUGAGAAUGUGAUGGACUCUGUUUCUACUAAUAUUGCAGUUUUAAAGGCUGCUAAAAUUUCAAUAUAGAACGUUGAUGGUGAUAGAAGAGCAUCUUUCCUUUGAAAUGCUCUCUAGCUGCUUAGAAAAUCAGUUCAUGUUGUUGCUUUAAUUCAAGCUGUUUGGCAAUAGAGGAAGGGGAAACUAGGCUCUAGAUCUUUGGUCCAAACAGGUUGGAUGAGAAAAAGGUUAAUUCUUUAUGUUGUUGAGUAGUGCCCUAGUUUUAUUUUAUUAAUAAUGAUGGAAAAACUGAUAUGGUAAGAACAAUUUUUCAAAACAGGAAAACAAGUUGCUUAAAUU
RNAcentral lists this long non-coding RNA (1381 nucleotides) under Vitis vinifera (wine grape). RNAcentral's name for it is "long non-coding RNA (VVIN_LNC007475)". Lineage: Eukaryota; Viridiplantae; Streptophyta; Magnoliopsida; Vitales; Vitaceae. The record is from RNAcentral.